GACGAACGCUGGCGGCGUGCUUAACACAUGCAAGUCGAGCGGUAAGGCCCUUUCGGGGGUACACGAGCGGCGAACGGGUGAGUAACACGUGGGUGACCUGCCCUCAGCUCUGGGAUAAGCCUGGGAAACCGGGUCUAAUACUGGAUAUGACUCCAUGACGCAUGUUGUGGGGUGGAAAGCCUUGUGCGGCUGAGGAUGGGCCCGCGGCCUAUCAGCUUGUUGGUGGGGUGAGGCCUACCAAGGCGACGACGGGUAGCCGGCCUGAGAGGGCGACCGGCCACACUGGGACUGAGACACGGCCCAGACUCCUACGGGAGGCAGCAGUGGGGAAUAUUGGACAAUGGGCGCAAGCCUGAUCCAGCGAUGCCGCGUGUGUGAAGAAGGCCUGC
Molecule: ribosomal RNA, 389 nt
Filed under: uncultured bacterium
Lineage: Bacteria
Description: bacterial SSU rRNA
Rfam family: Bacterial small subunit ribosomal RNA
Source: RNAcentral